This 253-nucleotide ribosomal RNA is filed under the name uncultured bacterium. RNAcentral's name for it is "partial 16S ribosomal RNA". It matches the Rfam family "Bacterial small subunit ribosomal RNA", at positions 524 to 776 of the family's 1533-position model. The record is from RNAcentral.
UACGGAGGGGGCUAGCGUCGUUCGGAAUCACUGGGCGUAAAGCGCACGUAGGCGGCUUUGCAAGUCAGGGGUGAAAGCCCGGGGCUCAACCUCGGAAUUGCCCUUGAAACUGCAAGGCUUGAACACGGGAGAGGUAAGUGGAAUUCCGAGUGUAGAGGUGAAAUUCGUAGAUAUUCGGAAGAACACCAGUGGCGAAGGCGGCUUACUGGACCGUUGUUGACGCUGAGGCACGAAAGCGUGGGGAGCAAACAGG